This is a non-coding RNA of Pangasianodon gigas (Mekong giant catfish), 92 nucleotides long. Lineage: Eukaryota; Metazoa; Chordata; Actinopteri; Siluriformes; Pangasiidae. The record is from the annotation of a GenBank genome assembly.
CCUUCAAUAGCUCAGGUGGUAGAGUAGCGGAGAGGACUGUAAGUGCUAACAAGGCCAUCCUUAGGUCACUGGUUCCAAUCCUGCUUGAAGGA